GCAAACCCAUGAUUUGAUUCUGCUUCCUUUCUCUCUCUCUCUCUCUCUCUCUCGCACACUAAAGUUUUGUGUUUCCAAUUCGCCUUCUCUGCUCCUGUGUUUAUUUGGGGAAACCAAUCAUUGUUCUCUGUAAGGCCCUCUUGCCUCUUUGUUAUUGAGUAUGUUCCCUUUCUCUCUACACAUCUUGUUUCCCCUUUUUUUUAUUUAAAUUUAAUUUUUUUUCUUUUAUUUUGAUUCGGAUGACAUUUUUAACAAGUAAAAAGAAAAAAAAAAGUUGAUUUUGGGGGAUUUUCUGAUCUGGGUAUCUGUUAUUUUGGUUUAAAUCAGCGCUCUUCCCAUCAAGUUUGUAGCUUUAACUUGUGUUCUCCUUGG
RNAcentral lists this long non-coding RNA (372 nucleotides) under Ananas comosus (pineapple). Its description in RNAcentral is "long non-coding RNA (ACOM_LNC044760)". Lineage: Eukaryota; Viridiplantae; Streptophyta; Magnoliopsida; Poales; Bromeliaceae. The record is from RNAcentral.